This 253-nucleotide ribosomal RNA is filed under the name uncultured bacterium. RNAcentral's name for it is "partial 16S ribosomal RNA". It matches the Rfam family "Bacterial small subunit ribosomal RNA", at positions 524 to 776 of the family's 1533-position model. The record is from RNAcentral.
UACGUAGGAGACGAGCGUUGUCCGGAAUUAUUGGGCGUAAAGGGUGCGUAGGCGGUCUGACAAGUCUGAUGUGAAAUCUAUGGGCUCAACCCAUAGUCUGCAUCGGAAACUGUCGGGCUUGAGUAUGGGAGAGGUGAGUGGAAUUUCCGGUGUAGCGGUGAAAUGCAUAGAUAUGACUUAGAACACCAAUUGCUAAGGCAGCUCACUAAACAGAGAUUGACGCUGAGGCACGAAAGCGUGGGGAUCAAACAGG